AGUGAACGCUGGCGGUAGGCCUAACACAUGCAAGUCGAACGGCAGCACAGUAAGAGCUUGCUCUUACGGGUUGCGAGUGGCGGACGGGUGAGGAAUACAUCGGAAUCUACUUUUUCGUGGGUGAUAACGUAGGGAAACUUACGCUAAUACCGCAUACGACCUACGGGUGAAAGCAUUGGAUCUUCGGACCUUGCGCGAUUGAAUGAGCCGAUGUCGGAUUAGCUAGUUGGCGGGGUAAAGGCCCACCAAGGCGACGAUCCGUAGCUGGUAUGAGAGGAUGAGCAGCAAAACAGGAACGGAGACACGGACAAGAAUACGACGGGAGGCAGCAGUGGGGAAUAUGGGACAAUGGGCGAAAGCCUGAUAAAGCAAUAGCGAGUGGGAGAAGAAGGCCUAAGGGUUGUAAAGCCAUUUUGUUGGGAAAGAAAAGCAGCAGGUUAAUACCCCGCUGUUAUGACGGUACCCAAAGAAUAAGCACCGGCUAACUUCGUG
Molecule: ribosomal RNA, 492 nt
Filed under: uncultured bacterium
Lineage: Bacteria
Description: partial 16S ribosomal RNA
Rfam family: Bacterial small subunit ribosomal RNA
Source: RNAcentral